CCCUUAGAUGUCCGGGGCCGCACGCGCGCUACACUGAUGCAUUCAACGAGUUUCUUCCUGGUCCGAGAGGAAUGGGUAACCUUUUGAAAGUGCAUCGUGAUAGGGAUAGACUAUUGCAAUUAUUGGUCUUCAACGAGGAAUUCCUAGUAGACGUAGUUCAUCAGACUGCAUCGAUUACGUCCCUGCCCUUUGUACACACCGCCCGUCGCUCCUACCGAUUGAAUGCUCAGGUGAGCCAUUCGGACCUUCAUCAUGCCGGUUUCCGGUUUUGAUGAGGGAAAGUCUUGCGAACCUUAUCAUUUAGAGGAAGGAGAAGUCGUAACA
RNAcentral lists this ribosomal RNA (324 nucleotides) under uncultured eukaryote. Its description in RNAcentral is "partial 18S ribosomal RNA". It matches the Rfam family "Eukaryotic small subunit ribosomal RNA", at positions 1470 to 1796 of the family's 1831-position model. The record is from RNAcentral.